Molecule: ribosomal RNA, 284 nt
Filed under: Megasphaera massiliensis
Lineage: Bacteria; Bacillati; Bacillota; Negativicutes; Veillonellales; Veillonellaceae
Description: partial 16S ribosomal RNA
Rfam family: Bacterial small subunit ribosomal RNA
Source: RNAcentral
UACGUAGGUGGCAAGCGUUGUCCGGAAUUAUUGGGCGUAAAGGGCGCGCAGGCGGCAUCGCAAGUCGGUCUUAAAAGUGCGGGGCUUAACCCCGUGAGGGGACCGAAACUGUGAAGCUCGAGUGUCGGAGAGGAAAGCGGAAUUCCUAGUGUAGCGGUGAAAUGCGUAGAUAUUAGGAGGAACACCAGUGGCGAAAGCGGCUUUCUGGACGACAACUGACGCUGAGGCGCGAAAGCCAGGGGAGCAAACGGGAGGAGAAACCCGGGGAGGCCGGCUGACUGACU